RNAcentral lists this ribosomal RNA (489 nucleotides) under uncultured bacterium. RNAcentral describes it as "partial 16S ribosomal RNA". It matches the Rfam family "Bacterial small subunit ribosomal RNA", at positions 28 to 507 of the family's 1533-position model. The record is from RNAcentral.
GAUGAACGCUAGCGGGAGGCCUAACACAUGCAAGCCGAGCGGGAUUUGUUGGUUAGCUUGCUAACUAACAAUGAGAGCGGCGUACGGGUGCGUAGCACGUGUGCAACCUGCCUUUAUCUGGGGGAUAGCCUUUCGAAAGGAAGAUUAAUACCCCAUAACAUAUUGAUUGGCAUCAGUUAAUAUUGAAAGCUCCGGCGGAUAGAGAUGGGCACGCGUAAGAUUAGCUAGUUGGUGAGGUAACGGCUCACCAAGGCUGCGAUCUUUAGGGGGCCUGAGAGGGUGAUCCCCCACACUGGUACUGAGGCACGGACCAGACUCCUACGGGAGGCAGCAGUGAGGAAUAUUGGACAAUGGGUGAGAGCCUGAUCCAGCCAUCCCGCGUGAAGGACUAAGGACCUAUGGCUUGUAAACUUCUUUUAUACAGGGAUAAACCUACUCUCGUGAGGGUAGCUGAAGGUACUGUAUGAAUAAGCACCGGCUAACUCCGUG